Molecule: ribosomal RNA, 301 nt
Filed under: uncultured bacterium
Lineage: Bacteria
Description: partial 16S ribosomal RNA
Rfam family: Bacterial small subunit ribosomal RNA
Source: RNAcentral
CAGUAGCCGCGGGAAUACGAAGGGGGCUAGCGUUGCUCGGAAUGACUGGGCGUAAAGGGCGCGUAGGCGGUUCAUACAGUUGGAUGUGAAAUUCCUGGGCUUAACCUGGGGGCUGCAUUCAAUACGUGCGGGCUUGAGUGUGGAAGAGGGUUGUGGAAUUCCCAGUGUAGAGGUGAAAUUCGUAGAUAUUGGGAAGAACACCGGUGGCGAAGGCGGCAACCUGGUCCAUAACUGACGCUGAGGCGCGAAAGCGUGGGGAGCAAACAAGAUUAGAUACCCCUGUAGUCCCUGUCUCUUAUAC